GAGGGGGUCGCGGCUGAUUAGCUAGUUGGCGGGGUAAUGGCCCACCAAGGCGAAGAUCGGUAUCCGGCCUGAGAGGGCGCACGGACACACUGGAACUGAAACACGGUCCAGACUCCUACGGGAGGCAGCAGUGGGGAAUUUUGCGCAAUGGGGGAAACCCUGACGCAGCAACGCCGCGUGGAGGAUGAAGUCCCUUGGGACGUAAACUCCUUUCGACCCGGACGAUACUGACGGUACGGGUGGAAGAAGCACCGGCUAACUCUGUGCCAGCAGCCGCGGUAAUACAGAGGGUGCGAGCGUUGUUCGGAAUUAUUGGGCGUAAAGGGCGCGUAGGCGGUGCCACAAGUCACCUGUGAAAUCUCCUGGCUCAACUGGGAGCUUGCAGGCGAAACUGUGGUGCUGGAGUGUGGGAGAGGUGCGUGGAAUUCCCGGUGUAGCGGUGAAAUACGUAGAUAUCGGGAGG
This 463-nucleotide ribosomal RNA is filed under the name uncultured Acidobacteriota bacterium. Its description in RNAcentral is "bacterial SSU rRNA". It matches the Rfam family "Bacterial small subunit ribosomal RNA", at positions 224 to 704 of the family's 1533-position model. The record is from RNAcentral. Lineage: Bacteria; Pseudomonadati; Acidobacteriota.